This is a non-coding RNA of Pelobates cultripes (western spadefoot toad), 234 nucleotides long. The record is from the annotation of a GenBank genome assembly. NCBI's taxonomy places the organism in Eukaryota, Metazoa, Chordata, Amphibia, Anura, Pelobatidae.
CAUUGCUUCUCACAGCUAGGGAUUGGGAGGCAUGGCGCAUGCAUGGCUGCUCACAGCGAGGGAUUGGGAGGCAUGGCGCAUGCAUGGCUGCUCACAGCGAGGGAUUGGGAGGCAUGGUGCAUGCACUGCUUCUCAUAGCGAGGUAUUGGGAGGCAUGGCACAUGCAUUGCUUCUCACAGCUAGGAAUUGGGAGGCAUGGUGCAUGCAUGGCUGCUCACAGCGAGGGAUUGGGAG